AUCACCAUCGACUACCAAAUUGCUCAAAUCAAAUAAAUAGGUAGUACUUCUUCUUUGUUUGGUGUGGAAAUAAUGAGUAUUUGUAAUUUUGUUUGUUCAAAAAAAAAACAUUGUAACUUAUUUCAAAAUUGAUAAAAAAGAAAAAAUACUAUAUCUUUCAUGUUCUGAUCUAACCAUGACUAAUUAAUCAUCGAAACUGCAAUGUAAUCUUUAAACUAUGUAAACUUCAUUUUCUCCAAUUACUAUAUUUACUUUUUCUCACGUCUUCCUAAUUUUUUUUUACAAUCUACUUUUCUAAAUGAUUGAUAUAUGUUGCGUUAAAAACACACCUAGAGCAAGUGUACUCUAGCGCAGAAGUAGUAUAAAAGAUUAUCGUAUCCACAUGGAUUAAUUAACAAGUACCAAACUAUUUAAGAUUAUUUAUUAUUUAAACUAACGAGUAGUUGAGUUGUCAUGAAAACUAAAGAGAAAAUACUGACGAGUAAGAAUAAGAACAAGAAUAAAAACGUGAAGUUGUAAACCAGUAGAGAGAGGUAGGGUCAUGGUUUCACUUGCAAUAUUCGGUUCCCUAUGUCUAGUUCCAUUUGAAUUCCUUUAUUUUAAUUCAAUUACCAAUCCUUUUACUAAAACUAUUAAUCCGUUUGGUCAUUCGUGAUUAAUAUUCUUUUUCCUAAAUUAACCUUUGUUUGGUCAUGCAAAGAGUUGAAAUUUAAGAAAAGCAUAAAGUGCAAAAAGGUUGAAUGAUUGGAAGACUAAGAUUAAAGUUUGGUCAUGCAAUAAUUAUAGUCUCAUUUAUCGUAUAGGUCCAUCAAUUAACUGCAGUACGGUCGCUGAUCAAUCAAUUGAUUAUAAACAUUCAUAGGUUGAUCAUUCCUACUUAUGUGAUAAAAUCAAUAGGAUAAAAUUAAUUGAACAAAAUACCGAAAUUCAAAUUAGAAACUGGAACAUAUAGCUAAGAAGACAUAGCAAAAGGAAUUUUAAUUGCAAGAUCCACGAAAAACCCUAGAAUAAUAUUUAGCUAUCCAUAAUCAAAAAGAACACUAAGAUAGAAGUAGAAUUCAUGAAAUUAAGAGUAAGGAAUAACCCUAGAAUGAAGAAAAUAUGUUGCUCCAAAGUUUCAAUCUUCAAUCCAAAGCUCUUCCAAUGUAUCACGAUCAGUAACUUCAAUGAAUCUCAAUUUGUGAUUUUUUUUUCCUCUCACGGUCGUGAAUAGAAGAAAGCGUAAUUCCCAAUUGCAACUAAGAAGCUCUAUUUAUAACCCUCUUGAUUAAAUAUGUCUUCAAGUGUAAGCAUCCUCUUUUUUUUUCACCGCCAAAACCAGCCAUCAUCCACUUGUUAAAUCUCUCAAU
RNAcentral lists this long non-coding RNA (1349 nucleotides) under Trifolium pratense (red clover). RNAcentral describes it as "long non-coding RNA (TPRA_LNC006571)". The record is from RNAcentral. Lineage: Eukaryota; Viridiplantae; Streptophyta; Magnoliopsida; Fabales; Fabaceae.